AUGAACGCUAGCGGCAGGCUUAACACAUGCAAGUCGAGGGGCAGCGAGGGUAGCAAUACCUGUCGGCGACCGGCGGAAGGGUGAGUAACGCGUGAGCAACAUACCCGUAUCAGGUGGGAAUAAUACAGGGAAACUUGUUCUAAUAUCGCAUAAUAUUAUUCAGAGGCAUCUUUGGAUAAUUAAAGUUACGGCGGAUACGGAAUGGCUCGCGUGACAUUAGUUAGAUGGUAGGGUAAUGGCCUACCAUGGCGAUGAUGUCUAGGGGUUCUGAGAGGGAGGUCCCCCACACUGGAACUGAGACACGGUCCAGACUCCUACGGGAGGCAGCAGUGAGGAAUAUUGGACAAUGGAUGGAAAUCUGAUCCAGCCAUGCCGCGUGCAGGAAGGCGGCCCUAUGGGUUGUAAACUGCUUUUGUACGGGAGCAAUAAGGUCUACGAGUAGAUUGAUGAGAGUACUGUACGAAUAAGCAUCGGCUAACUCCGUG
Molecule: ribosomal RNA, 485 nt
Filed under: uncultured bacterium
Lineage: Bacteria
Description: bacterial SSU rRNA
Rfam family: Bacterial small subunit ribosomal RNA
Source: RNAcentral